CAACAGGAUAAUACAUGCUCAUAAAGAGUUGUUCCUUGUAAAGUAAUGAUUUAACAACCAAGCCACUAUCUCUAUAUCAUCAGCAGUUACAAACAUCAAAAUAUUUGCUUAUAUGUACGUUUUGUAAAAAGCCAGAAUUGUAGUCAGGACUAUGACAAAGUAAAGAAGCUUAUGAAUACAAAUGAGGCUGAUUCCCACUUAACUGGAUUAAUGGAGACUCUUAGACAAGCAGAGCAGAAGCUUUUAAGUUCUAGAAUUUGGUUGGCUGAUCCCAAGUUUGAAAUAUGGAAGAGAUUGUACUGGAAGAAUGUGCAAAAUUCAUUAUCUCAUUGGAACCAAAACCAGAAAAGACCUAAUGAUGUUAAAGAAAAACAUUCAAAAUACAGUCAAAUUUAAACAAUUCUAUGGUUGCAAUAGGAAUUAUUAGUACAAGAAAGUUGUGUAAAAGAAUAACUUACAAUUGCUAGAAAAUUUCAUUAUUUUCUAUUUAUCUGUGAGUAUUUGUUCUAAUAAAUACUUAUACCAUAGUG
This 530-nucleotide unclassified non-coding RNA is filed under the name Limulus polyphemus (Atlantic horseshoe crab). RNAcentral's name for it is "uncharacterized LOC106475708, transcript variant X2". The record is from RNAcentral. Lineage: Eukaryota; Metazoa; Arthropoda; Merostomata; Xiphosura; Limulidae.